UAGUUUGAUCAUGGCUCGAGGACGACGCUGGCGGCGUGCUUAACACAUGCAAGUCGAACGGAACCUUCGGGUUUAGUGGCGAACGGGUGAGUAAAGCGCAGGUAAUCUGCCGCAAAGUCGGGGACAACGUUCCGAAAGGGACGCUAAUACCGGAUGUUGUGCGGAGUUCGCAUGGAUUCUGCACUAAAGAUUUAUCGCUUUGCGAGGAGCCUGCGUCCGAUUAGGUAGUUGGUAGAGUAAAAGCCUACCAAGCCGACGAUCGGUAGCCGGUCUGAGAGGAUGAACGGCCACAUUGGGACUGAGACACGGCCCAAACUCC
Molecule: ribosomal RNA, 319 nt
Filed under: uncultured Veillonellaceae bacterium
Lineage: Bacteria; Bacillati; Bacillota; Negativicutes; Veillonellales; Veillonellaceae
Description: bacterial SSU rRNA
Rfam family: Bacterial small subunit ribosomal RNA
Source: RNAcentral